UUACGGUCACAUCCCGUUGAAACACCAGUUUCUGUAUGAUCACUGAAGUUAAGCAACGUCGAGCCAGGUCAGUACCUAGAUGGCUGGCCGCUUAAGAAUAGCGGGUGCUGUAAG
Acanthosepion pharaonis is the source of this 114-nucleotide non-coding RNA. The record is from the annotation of a GenBank genome assembly. NCBI's taxonomy places the organism in Eukaryota, Metazoa, Mollusca, Cephalopoda, Sepiida, Sepiidae.